RNAcentral lists this ribosomal RNA (253 nucleotides) under uncultured bacterium. RNAcentral's name for it is "partial 16S ribosomal RNA". It matches the Rfam family "Bacterial small subunit ribosomal RNA", at positions 524 to 776 of the family's 1533-position model. The record is from RNAcentral.
UACGUAGGCAGCAAGCGUUGUUCGGAGUUACUGGGCGUAAAGGGUGUGUAGGCGGUUCCUUAAGUUUGCUGUGAAAUCUCCCGGCUUAACCGGGAGGGUGCGGUGAAUACUGAGGGACUAGAGUACGGGAGAGGAAAGUGGAAUUCCUGGUGUAGCGGUGAAAUGCGCAGAUAUCAGGAGGAACACCCAUUGCGAAGGCAGCUCGCUGGGACGUUACUGACGCUGAGACGCGAAAGCGUGGGGAGCGAACAGG